UGCGCCUACAAUCCGUCAGAGCCUCCUCGUGGGGUGAUGGCGUGCCUUUUGAAGAAUGAGCCUGCGAGUCAGGGACAUGUCGCGAGGUUAACCCGAGUGGGGUAGCCGCAGCGAAAGCGAGUCUGAAUAGGGCGUAUCCCCGUUAGGGGUGUAGUGGCAUGUUCUGGACCCGAAGCGGAGUGAUCUACCCAUGGCCAGGGUGAAGCGCGGGUAAAACCGCGUGGAGG
Molecule: ribosomal RNA, 227 nt
Filed under: Mycobacterium ulcerans
Lineage: Bacteria; Bacillati; Actinomycetota; Actinomycetes; Mycobacteriales; Mycobacteriaceae
Description: partial 23S rRNA
Rfam family: Bacterial large subunit ribosomal RNA
Source: RNAcentral